UCCGGCCACUCUCCUGCCUGGGCUGCUGCUCAACGGGGGCUGGGGGUGUGUGGGGCGGGGGUGGUCUGUCCAGUGAUUCAGCCACAUGUGAUAGAUGACCAAGUGACUGCUUUCUUGGAGUCCGCACACCAGUGGAAGACUCUCAAAGUGGUUGUGACCGACUUGAUCAAACUCUAGGCUUCCUGAACUGGUAACUGUCACUUUAAUAUAGGUUACUGAUUAAACUCAGAAAAAUGCAGCUUAAAAUCUUUGCCAGGAACUUGUGUGGACUUACUCCCUGUUCCCCCCCACCCCCCUUGUUCUGAUUUGUUUUGUCACAGGAAUGAAAUGCAGAUAACUCUUUAGAAAACUUUUGUAGGAAAAGCGCCUCGUGUGAUCUGGAACAAAGACGUUUUAUAAUCAGAUUUAUCAAGCUGCGAAGAGGGAGUUUUAGUGAACGGAAGCAGCAGCAUUCUGUCACCAGGAAAUACUCCUUUAUCCAGAAUUGGAGGUAUAAACCAGUGGAGUUUAUCAUUGAAUAGAGUGCAGAGAAAGGACCGCAAGAAAGCUGAUCACCUCAGCAAUGAAUGAUUUCGAUACGAUUUCACCCAAAUGGUCUCACACACCAGCCUAGUAAACCAGAGAUAAGGUGUAAUGUCAUCCUUCCUUCCUUCUCCCUGCCUCAACUGUCAAAGAUUGACAACUUACAUGUUGUUUACUUUUUGGCUUCUAUUUCUGUUCAUAAUUAUUAUCAGAAGGCAUAGCACCCACAAGCCUAAUCAUACUGCCUUACAACCUUAUUCCUCUUCAUUUUGUCUUCUCACUUACCUGCAGAAACCCAGUUUAUUUUUGUUCUCCCUUUACCACACCAGCCUUGUAACUGUUAUGAAUGACCCUCAAUCUCACUGGAAUCUGAAUCACUCAGGAAUUCAAGCAAACUGGAUGUUUUAAGCACUGUUCAGCUUUCUUAUGGAAUGACAGAGAACUCGUAAAGAUAAAACACCAGUUUGCAGGAAGAAAGGAAGAGAAUGGAAAUUGCUUCUGGAAAAUACUAGUUUUACAAUAUGUUUUGUUUGUCUGCUCUCUUAAAUAAACUUAAUCCUAUAAACAUUUUUUAAGAACUAGCCAUUAAGACUGUUAAGUUCUCAAUUAUAAAGGAAUAAAAUGUUUUAAGGAGGAUUUAUUUGCCCUUGCUUAUAUGAACUGCAUAUUUUUAGUAGGAAAUCAUGUAAUUUAAAUUAGUAUUGAUUAACAGAUUUAAUGUAGAAAAUGGACAUAUAAAGAAUACAAGGAUAAAUGUCUACAUGUAAUAAUGGAUGGUAGUGAUAUAAUGCAUUUUUGUCAUCCCAUGCUGAAUUCAGUAAAAAUAAAGCUAAUGACUUGGAGCUUUUAAAAGAU
This 1377-nucleotide long non-coding RNA is filed under the name Pan troglodytes (chimpanzee). Its description in RNAcentral is "lincRNA". The record is from RNAcentral. Lineage: Eukaryota; Metazoa; Chordata; Mammalia; Primates; Hominidae.